This 698-nucleotide ribosomal RNA is filed under the name uncultured Methanosaeta sp. Its description in RNAcentral is "bacterial SSU rRNA". It matches the Rfam family "Archaeal small subunit ribosomal RNA", at positions 1 to 705 of the family's 1478-position model. Lineage: Archaea; Methanobacteriati; Methanobacteriota; Methanomicrobia; Methanotrichales; Methanotrichaceae. The record is from RNAcentral.
UCUGUUUGAUCCCGGCGGAGGUUACUGCUAUCGAGGUUCGACUAAGCCAUGCGAGUCGAAUGUAGCAAUACAUGGCGUACUGCUCAGUAACACGUGGACAACCUACCCUUAGGUCGGGGAUAAACCCGGGAAACUGGGUAUAAUACCCGAUAGUCCUCGGAUGCUGGAAUGCACCGAGGUCUAAAGCUCCGGCGCCUAAGGAUGGGUCUGCGGCCUAUCAGGUAGUAGUGGGUGUAGCGUACCUACUAGCCUACGACGGGGUACGGGUUGUGAGAGCAAGAGCCUGGAGAUGGAUUCUGAGACACGAACCCAGGCCCUACGGGGUGCAGCAGGCGCGAAAACUUUACAAUGCUGGAAACAGCGAUAAGGGGACCUUGAGUGCCAGGUUACAAAUCUGGCUGUCGUGAUGCCUAAAAAGCAUUGCAUAGCAAGGGCCGGGCAGGACCGGUGCCAGCCGCCGCGGUAACACCGGCGGCUCGAGUGGUAACCGCUAUUAUUGGGUCUAAAGGGUCUGUAGCCGGCCGGAUAAGUCUUUUGGGAAAUCUGGCAGCUUAACUGUCAGGCUUUCAGAGGAUACUGUCUGGCUCGAGGCCGGGAGAGGUGAGAGGUACUUCAGGGGUAGGGGUGAAAUCUUGUAAUCCUUGAAGGACCACCAGUGGCGAAGGCGUCUCACCAGAACGGACCUGACGGCAAGGGAC